This 322-nucleotide ribosomal RNA is filed under the name Kapala ivorensis. RNAcentral describes it as "eukaryotic LSU rRNA". It matches the Rfam family "Eukaryotic large subunit ribosomal RNA", at positions 674 to 944 of the family's 3401-position model. Lineage: Eukaryota; Metazoa; Arthropoda; Insecta; Hymenoptera; Eucharitidae. RNAcentral also lists the same sequence under 1 other name. The record is from RNAcentral.
UCUAGCAUGUGCGCGAGUCAUUGGGACUUUUUUUCAGGAAAGCCCAGAGGCGCAAUGAAAGUGAAGAUCGGCCUUUUCGGCUUGAUCGAGGGAGGAUGGCUCAUUGUUAUUUUUUAUAAUGACGGGCUCGCACUCCCGGGGCGUCUCGCGCUCAUUUCGAGCGGAGGCGCACCCAGAGCGUACACGCUGGGACCCGAAAGAUGGUGAACUAUGCCUGGUCAGGACGAAGUCAGGGGAAACCCUGAUGGAGGUCCGUAGCGAUUCUGACGUGCAAAUCGAUCGUCGGAACUGGGUAUAGGGGCGAAAGACUAAUCGAACCAUC